UACGUAGGGUGCAAGCGUUAUCCGGAAUUAUUGGGCGUAAAGAGCUCGUAGGCGGUUUGUCGCGUCUGCCGUGAAAGUCCGGGGCUUAACCCCGGAUCUGCGGUGGGUACGGGCAGACUAGAGUGCAGUAGGGGAGACUGGAAUUCCUGGUGUAGCGGUGAAAUGCGCAGAUAUCAGGAGGAACACCGAUGGCGAAGGCAGGUCUCUGGGCUGUAACUGACGCUGAGGAGCGAAAGCAUGGGGAGCAAACAGG
RNAcentral lists this ribosomal RNA (253 nucleotides) under uncultured bacterium. RNAcentral's name for it is "partial 16S ribosomal RNA". It matches the Rfam family "Bacterial small subunit ribosomal RNA", at positions 524 to 776 of the family's 1533-position model. The record is from RNAcentral.